AUGGGGUUUCAGCAUGUUGGCCAGGAUAGUCUCAAUCUCUUGACCUUGUGGUCCGCCUGCCUCGGCCUCCCACAGUGCUGGGAUUACAGGCGUGAGCCACCAUGCCGGACUUCCUUCUGCUCUUACUUUUCCCUGCAUUCCCUCAGGCUGGCCCAGACUCUAGACUUGUGGCGUUUACCUGUGUCUGGGACCCUUAGAUCUCCUCUCUGUCUUCUCCACCUGUGAAAAACUGAAGGAUGUGGAGAAGAGUAGACCGCAGAACCCUGCCUUCUGCAGCCAAGCUGAGGGCAGGCUGUGUGGGGGCAGUGUCGAGAGGGUGGAUGGACUCGUAGGCUGCAGCAGAGGCCACUGUGUCCCUGGACAUUGCCUCCGUCCUUUCUUCUCCUUGCUUCACUGGCCACAGUGUCUCCCUCCAGCCCUCGGCAUGUUCUUCUACCAUCUUCACCCGUCAUGGAGCAGAGGUGAGGAAAGGCAGCUUGGGAACCCAAAGACCAGUGAAGGACCAGGUCUGGACAGCACAGGGUCCUCCCUGGGCAUCCAACAGAGGCGCCCAUAAACGUCGGAGCACCCCAAGAGGAGGGAGCACAGCCAGCCUCCAUCGACGGCAAGCCUCCAGCCCCUCCUACAUUGAUCACCAUUUCUCUCCAGUCUUUCUGCCUCCGAGAUGGGGCACCGUCAGUGCAGUGCCCUGCGGCUUCAGCGCCCUACUUCCUCCUCCCAGCCUGUAAUGUUUAUAUAAGCAGACUCAAGGACCAAGAGCCAGCUGUGGAAGGACACACACAGGAAAUUCACAAAGGAAAUUCUAAUGGCUAAAACCCCGAACCAAAUGUAUGCUUCAUUAGUAAUUAAAGAAAGGCAAAUAGAGCUGAAAGCGUUUUUCCCUUAGCAAACCAUCACAGAAAAAAAUAAGACCCAGUAUUGGCAAAGAGACUGCUAAAAUAACAUGCCCAUACAUUGUGUGUGGGAGGAUAGAUUGGUGCUGGCUUCCUGGACGGCAGUUUGGUGAUGUGUGCCAUGUACCCUAAAAGCGUCCAUGUCCUUUGACCUACUAAUUCUAUGUUUGGGAAUUUAUCCUAAGAAAAUAAUUGAGGAUUUAGUUAUAAGAUGUUCAUCCCAGCGCUGCAAUGGAGAAAAAUGGGAAGCAAUGGUGUGGUUGGAAAUUCAUUCCUUUUCUGCUGUAAUGAAAGUUUGCAAUAGGGGAUUACUGAAGUAAAUUAUUGUAUAUCCAUCCAGAUGGUGGAGUACUGCACAGACAUUAAAAGUCAUGUAAAAGAACAUCUGACAGAAAAAUGCUCCUUGAAUAUUAAGAGGUUGUAAAAAUAGCGCAUGUUAUGUGAUCUCAAUUUUGUUUUUUAAAAUCUGGGUUUAUACUUACUGUUUACAUAGAACAGAUAAAGACUGAAGGCAUACUAAAAAAUGUUUAGUGGUUAUCUUUGGAUAGUGGAAUAAAAUUGUGAUUUUCAUCUUU
Long non-coding RNA from Cebus imitator (Panamanian white-faced capuchin), 1468 nucleotides. RefSeq lists it as uncharacterized. The record is from RefSeq and is a predicted model, not a curated record. NCBI's taxonomy places the organism in Eukaryota, Metazoa, Chordata, Mammalia, Primates, Cebidae. The transcript has 2 exons.